RNAcentral lists this ribosomal RNA (433 nucleotides) under uncultured bacterium. RNAcentral describes it as "partial 16S ribosomal RNA". It matches the Rfam family "Bacterial small subunit ribosomal RNA", at positions 29 to 507 of the family's 1533-position model. The record is from RNAcentral.
AACGAACGCUGGCGGCAUGCCUAACACAUGCAAGUCGAACGAGACCUUCGGGUCUAGUGGCGCACGGGUGCGUAACGCGUGGGAACCUGCCCUUAGGUUCGGAAUAACUCCCCGAAAGGGGUGCUAAUACCGGAUAAUGUCUUCGGACCAAAGAUUUAUCGCCUUUGGAUGGGCCCGCGUUGGAUUAGCUAGUUGGUAGGGUAAAAGCCUACCAAGGCGACGAUCCAUAGCUGGUCUGAGAGGAUGAUCAGCCACACUGGGACUGAGACACGGCCCAGACUCCUACGGGAGGCAGCAGUGGGGAAUAUUGGACAAGGGGCGAAAGCCUGAUCCAGCAAUGCCGCGUGAGUGAUGAAGGCCUUAGGGCUGUAAAGCUCUUUUACCCGGGAUGAUAAUGACAGUACCGGGAGAAUAAGCUCCGGCUAACUCCGUG